CAAAAACACACAAAAAAAACAUCGUGUUACACGUUUUCACGAGCAAAAUCUAAAAAUUGAGACGUGAAUGUUGAGCCCCACAUACUCUAAUACCCCUAAAUACAAUCCAGUGUGACAGAAGUCAAUGCCGUGAAGACGUACACCUCAGACUUACCAACAAUAUGGCUUUUGUAGCAGAA
Molecule: long non-coding RNA, 179 nt
Organism: Poecilia latipinna (sailfin molly)
Lineage: Eukaryota; Metazoa; Chordata; Actinopteri; Cyprinodontiformes; Poeciliidae
Exons: 2
Source: RefSeq, a predicted model, not a curated record